This is a long non-coding RNA of Pan troglodytes (chimpanzee), 7743 nucleotides long. RefSeq lists it as uncharacterized. The record is from RefSeq and is a predicted model, not a curated record. The transcript is spliced from 4 exons. Lineage: Eukaryota; Metazoa; Chordata; Mammalia; Primates; Hominidae.
CACCUGUGAGACCAGAAAUGGCUUCCCUGGGGACUGAGAGAGCCCACAGAGCUCUUCCUGCUGCUUCCUCUACUCCUGUAUUUUGCUCGGCUCUCUGAAUUAUCUCAGCUCCAGCUUCUUUUAGUGAUUCAUGUGGUUUUAGAGAAGCUGAGGCCAUUAUUGCUCCAGAGAUGGGACACAUGACCUACACAAGUCUAUCAGUACAUCCCAGCAAUCUGGCUACAGUGAUUGGUUUCCGGUGGGCAUGUGAGCUAAUCCAGACCAGUCAGACCGAAUCCUAGGUCUUCUUCUUGGAGUUGGAGGACAAAGAAAGAUCACUCUGGAUGCGGUGAGGAAAGCACCAGCGGGGUGGCGAGCAUGGAAACUGGAGGCUAAUGCAACAGUGUGUUAAAACUGUGACCUAUCAAUUUGGAAGUCAAGAAGCUGUGAGCUGUGAGAAGAGAAGUUUCAGGAGGAAACAAGCAGGUGCCCUGUGGCACAGACAGAAAAGUGCAUUACCAACCUCAUGAUCAUGAUGGCCCAAGGAGACCUUCUCUCGAUUGUGAAGGGUGGAAAGAGAGAAAACAGCAGGAAAGGCCAGGUCAUGGCAUGAGUGCUGACCCAAGAAGUGAAGAUAAUCAGCCUGGAAGGAUGGCAUACGUGCUUCAAAUCUGCUUUCAAAAAACUGAAUAAUGUAUGUUUCUCUAUUGACUCUAAAUUUUGGAGCUCUAGCUUACUCAAAUUGCUUGUGUUGAGUAUCUGGAAAAGCACUAGAAAGGUGGUAAAAAUACUUCACGUGUAUCAACCCCUGACAUUCUGCAGUGGAUGCUAUACAGAAGAAUAAGGUGGGGAAAGGCUACAAAAGCAGGAGAAGUCUCCUGAUGCCUGAAGGGACCCAAGGGAUGGUCCCCACCUGGGCUGGCUGAAUGGGUUCGAGUUGCAGCUUGGCAGCUGCUCACAUUCUGUCUCCCAGACAUCUCCUUUUGCUGAGGUAUGUGGACUUAGAGGAUGGCUUGAAGAGAUGGUUUCUCAGUGUUUUAGUACUUAGUGGACUGGUUACUACUGUACUGUAAUAUGCCCACAUCCAGAACUGGGUUAAGACCCUGAAUCUUUCAUAUCUAACUACCUUUGACUUGAUUUCUUUUCUUUGUGAAUCAAGAACAACCUAUCACCUUUUGCCUUUAGUGGUGUACUGUCUGUUCUACCUUUAAUCAUUUCACUAACAGUUUUGGUAUCAUAUUCUCCUGAUGCAUUAAGAACUUCUUAUACAAUGAAGUUUUCUGGGUCUUCAUCUCUACUAAUAUAACACCAGGUGUAAUUGGGCUCUUCACUACUGUUAGAAAGGAAAAAAAAGCAAGCCUAGUUUUUAAAUGUAUAAUUCACACAUGAAUACCUCCUCUCUAUCCAUAUACUUAAUUAUAGAUUGUAAAACUAAUUAUGUACACUUUGGCAUUUCCCUCUGAUGCUCCUUCAGAUAUUCUACAUUCAUCUUCACAACAUCUUUGUAAGGUAUGACCAAAAGAUCAAUUAUUUUCCUCUAAUGGAAAGAAGAAAUGGAAAGUAGUUUGCCAAGGUCACUCAUCGUUAGUGCUGGAACUUGGUGGCCUGAAGCUCAGGUCUCAUGAUUGCUGCUCCAGUGCUCAAUCCAGGAAGUCAUGUUGCCUCCCCAACCAAGUUGGUACCUUGGGAGUGGCUCUAGGUCAGAUAAGCAGGCAGACCUCCACCUGAGGCAUUUACCAAGUAUAUUAGUCCAUUUUCACACUACUGAUAAAGAUAUACCUGAGACUGGGCAAUAUACAAAAGAAAGAGGUUUAAUGGACUUACAUUGCACAUGGCUUGGGAGGCCUCACAAUCAUGGCAGAAGGCAAGGAGGAGCAAGUCAUGUCUUACAUGGAUGGCCUCAGGCAAAGACAGUGCUUGUGCAGGGAAACUCCCCUUUAUAGAACCAUCAGAUGUCAUGAGACUUAUUCACUAUCAGGAGAACAGCAUGGAAAAGACCUGUCUCCAUGAUUCAAUUACCUCCCACUAGGUCCCUCCCACAACACAUAAAAAUUCAAGACGAUACCUGGGUGGGGACACAGCCAAACAAUAUCAGCAAGCCAGAGAGGAUGCAACCAAGUGCAUGGUCAAACCUGUUCUCACCCUUCAACCAGAAAGCAGCAUAUACGCAAUAGAUUACACAACAAUCAAGAAGCAGCCCCCAUCUCCAUCCAGUGCAACAGACCAUGCUGGAGCACCUCUGCCUUAUAAAGCCCUUGUUGUUACAAUGAUAGCAAAAGCAGAGGUGCUAUGUCACAUUAAUGGCAUAGUCAGUCACAUUAAGCUCCUUAAAAAUAAAGUUUAAUAUAUGUAAGGCUCUAAGGUAUUUCUCAUGGCUCAUCCCAUUUAAUCCUUACAAAAAAUUAUGAGGUAAAUAUAAUAACCCUGAUAUAGAACUGGCAAGUGCCAGAGUGAGGUUCUAAACCCAGUUCUGUUCACUCUACCCUCCCAUUGCUAGAGCCGGAGGCUGCAUGAAGGUGGGAUGUCACAAAGCAGGUCACUACCACUUUUGGGGACAGGAGAGACAAACUCGAGUAAAUGACUCUUAGAGGCCAGCUCAGUAGAGAAGAGCAAGCAAAGUGGAACAAAUGGCCCUUGAGUUACCUCUCGACUGUGGUACUAAUUUAACUUUGUGACCUUGGCAUAGUCAAGCCCAGUGACAAAGUGAUUCCAUAGCCAUACAAAUGAUUUCUGACUAAAAUGGGCACCUGGAGGGUGAAAAAUAAUGAAUUUCCAUAUGAAUGAGCGGAUUAUGGGAUACGCCUCUCCAGUGGGCUGGGCCUCACUCUCACUUUUUGUCACUCUUUUCUCCUCAUCACUGCUGCACUUUUAAGGGCCUUGAAUAACCCCUGCAUUCUAGAUAUACACUCCAGUGUAAAUAUGCAGAACAUUUUGACACUUAAAAAUAUGUCCAUAGCGAAGUAGGACAGGUUGGAAUUAUAGUAGCCUGGAGGCAUAAGGAAGAGAAAGGAGUAAUACUUUACUUUCUGAAGUUACAAGGAAUAGUUUUACCAGCCAAUUGCUGCAGAGGGAGGAUAAAAUUACUAAUCAAAUCAACAAAUGCAUAGGCUAGAAAACAAAUAAAUUAUUUCAGCACUAUUUCAGAAACCCAUGUUUCAUCAAUGAUAAAUCACUAAGUAGAAGGGAAGCUAUGAGUACUGUACUUAUUUUAAAGACUCAAAAUAUGACUCAAUAUCUUCAUGGAGUGAUAUAUUCAUUUAUUCAACAGUGAACCAUCAUAAUAUAUGAAUGGGUAUACCGCAUUUACAUAUAAUAUGCCAGGCAGUGAUAAAUCAGAACUACGAACACCCACUGCCUCAGUUCCCCGAUGAUAGCCUCAACUAAUUUCUGCCUGAUAAAGCAAACAAGUAAACAAAAUGAUUGUUCCGGUUUCCUAAAGAGUCUUGUACUGAAUCCUCACCGUGAAAUUAAAUUUCGCGAAAGGCUGAUGUGCCGUGUUUAUGAUGCCCGCCUCUUAACUGACAGAGGGCUGUGGGUGUAAUAAGGAUCCUUAAUGCCCGGGGAGAUUAAGAGAUUGUUACAAGUUUACCCCAAAGCCAGUGUCAGAGAACUGGAUCUUUAUAGCAUGAUUUCAUGACUUUGUGAGAAUACACUCUCAAAAUGUUGCACAGAGCACAUUCAGCUUAAUUCCAAAGCCAAACAUAAGUACUUGGGAUUAUCUAUGGCUCGGCUGCCCUUCAUUAAUGCAAAUAAUUAAAAGCUGAGUGUAAACACAGAGGCACAUGGACUGCUGAGAUAAAGCGAGAGAUCUGCACUCUCUUCAGCCAUUCUGUUUUCUUUUGUCUUUUUGGUUAUUUGGAUGUUUACAGAGCUCUCCCCAUUUGCUCCACUAAAUGCCUGCUGAAGGACAGGACAGGUAGUUUCAUUCCCAUUGUGUAAAUGAGCAACUUCAGGCUGUAAGGGACACGAACUUGUCCAAGGUCAUUCAGAAAAGAGCAAAAACCAGAAUAGAUUUCAGAGUUCCUAUUUCGUAGUGCAGGCUUUUUCUGCUAUACCUUCUCCAUGGCAUGUUUUUCAGAAUGCACCAAUAGUUGGCACCAUCGAUCAUGCAACAAGUGUUUACUCAGAGCUCACUGCAUGCGUGAGACUAUUUUAGGUACCACAGAUAGAAUGAUGAACAACAAAAAGACCCAGCCUUUCUGACACUAAGAGAUUGAUAAUGCAAUAUGUAAACCACAAAGUUUUAUUCUUUUUUUUCUUUCAGCUUUCUACUCAUAGGGGAAAUUAAUACAAUUGCAGGAUUAACUUUGAACACAGAAGAUGAUAAAAAGAAGAUUGCUUACAUAUUUGUGAAAGUCCUGUUCUCUUGCUCUUGAAAUUGGCUAGGGGCACAUGAUAGGAUAUGAUUUGCUUUUUAAAUAAUGCAUAUGUAAAGUGGAUCCAAAUGAAUUAUAAUUAAACAUAGAGUAUUGACCAACCAGUCUAUUAAAGUGAAUAUUAGUAAUGCUACAUUAUUUCAGUUUCUAAAAUGGAUUCUGAUAUCUUAAGAAGUUUUAUUGUAUACGUAUGAAAUAUUGAAAAACGUAUUUUGGGCAGUUGAUAAAUGAUGGCAAAUUUCAGAUAUACUCAGUUACUUUGCAAGGUAGAAUUCCAUAUAUAGGCAGCCAUUUUAAACAGUACAACAAUUGAAAUGUUUAAAUACUGUUUCUAGCCUGAACAAAAUAGCCAAAAACAAUGAGGGUUAUAAAUGGAAUAAACUGUAACAUAGCCUCAUCUACUGGAAAUUGAUGUUUCUAAUGUUUUAGCUUAGAAAACACAAAGAAUACCCUUUUGUUGAAAAAUGAUUCAUUUCUCAUGAUAGAUGUUUUUUAAAUCUUCAAUUAUUUGGUAACAUGUUGAUUUAGUAAUCACUUCCAUUGUCUUUCCUUGUUCAUAAGUGUAUCAGUCCUGAACAGCUAGAGGUGACCUCAGGAUACCACUACAGGUUUCUCUUUAAAAUAAGAAAAUAAUUGGUGGGGCCAAGGUUACAAAAGAGCUUAUAGGAAGCCUGAGAACUCUAUUUUGUUUGGGGACCAGGGAAGUGGUUGUGACUAGACAUUUUACAGUAACCAACCAUAAAACAAACACUCUUAUCGCAAUUUGCAAAUUCAAAACCUAAAAUAAUGUAUGUUUUUGGAAAACGUGAUUUUUAAAUAUAAAGACCAUCUACAAAGUGAAGCUCUAAUUUACAAGACUAGUUGGCCUAAGCCACAGAACUCCAAAUAAGAUUCUCUAACGCUAUGCACCUACCUUCCUUCCUUUCUUUCUUUCUUUGUUCUUUUAUUUUUUAUUUUAUUUAUUUAUUUUUUUAUACUUUAGGUUCUGGGGUACAUGUGCACAACGUGCAGGUUUGUUACAUAUGUAUACACAUUCUCAGCAAACUUUGUUUCUUUAAUUUGCUAAUGUUUCCUGAUGUAUGAAGUAACAGCUGCUGAAAUUCUGCAAGCCACAAAAAUACUCUUAAGCAUAAAAAUCUAUGUCCUGAUUUUCAAGGCUGAGAUGAGAACAAGUUGUUGAAUCUGAUUAUCUAAAUGGGAAAACAGGGAGUGUGAAGAGUGAAUCAAUAUUAGUCAUGGCACAAAACGGCAGCAAAAUCGGCUCCUGAAAGGUACUGCAGCUUUCCAUGAAGGCGAGGCCACUGCCACAGCACUUUUCUCAGCUUCCACCUUCUCCUUGAGAUCUGCCUCUGGAGCCAUCACUCUGGUCUUUGUGGGGGAUAAGGCCAUGAGGUUUGGCCAGAGAUGAUUCUUGUUUAAUUUCAUUUGGAUAUUCAAAGAAAAUGGGGCUAAUUUUAUUUCUAACACAGUCUUUCUUAGAGACCAAGUAUUUCAGUGUUAGUAAUUUCCCAUACCCUAUAUUUGCUCAUGAUCCACCAUAAUUUUAUGCCCCUUUGUUCUUCAUUACAUAUUCUUCAUAGGUGAUCUACCCAUGUUUGCAAACACCUGUUGUUUGGACACCAAAAUAUACAUCAUCAUCCCCUUCCUGAAUUCCAAACCUGUAUAUCCGCCUCCCUGCAAAACUUUGUCUACUGGAUGCCCAAAAUGGGCAUCUUUAUCUUCCUCUACCAGUCUGCUCUUUCUCCUGUAUUUUCUUUGAAUAUUAGCAGAUAGACUAUCACCAACAUAGUUGUCUAAAUUAGAAAUUUGGAAGUUAUUUGCAUUCUUUCUCACUUUGCCUCACCAGUUCUAUAUUUAUUCUACCUGUUUUUUAUAUGGCUAUAUUGUCCUUCCCUUUGUUCAUCCCUAUAGUGACUAUUUAAAAUUCAGAAGCUUAUAAUACCUUAUUUGCACUACCACAGCCUCCUAAAUGGCCUCCUUUCUUCUAAUCUUACUUCCCUCUAAUCUAUUCUCUAUGCUGGAAUCAAAGUCAUAUUCUAAAAUUAAAAUCGAAUUAUAUCACUUUCCCAUCUAAAAUAUUUUAAUGACAGCCUAUAAUAGAGAGUAGUGACUGUCAAUAUUUUUGUUAUUAAAGGUUCAUUCAUAUAUAUUUAAAGUAUAAGCAUGAGGCAGAGGUGGACUCAUUCUGGUUGAAGAAAGGGAGUGGAACCUCUGGACCUCCUUCAGCUCAGGUCCAUCUUGGUCUCCUCCACACCCACUCCAAGAGUCUGCAAACAGCUGGAUGGUCAUCAUAGCCUUAAGCUCCUCUGUUUACCCCUUAUACAGACUCUUAUAAACUCUACCAACCCCCAACAGCUGCAUUUAUAAGUUUCUUUUUGUCACAUCUGAAUUGACAGGAAAGAGUGACUAUGAAUAUAGAGCCCUUGGCUAUCUUUGACCACACACUUUCAUCCUUGUUCCAGCCUGGACUAUAUCUACCUAUAGCAAUAAUCCUGCUAUCGUCCUUCCCCAUAACUAUGGGGAUUCCCAUGGCCUGUCUCUUAUUUGAGAUUUCCUGUUUCCUGUUUCUCAUGAGUUCCUCUUUUUUGUUUGUUUGCCUUGUUUUUAAUUCAUUCCCUUGUUUCAUGGAAAAAAGCCUCUUGUGUUUCAUGAGAAUGUGUGUGUGUAUGUGUGGUAAAUUUUUGAAAAUCUUGUUUGCCUGAAAAUCUCUUUAGUAUAUCUUCAUGUGAUUGAUAGUAUGGUUUGGUCUAUAUUUUAAACGAAUAAUAUUUUCUUUAUAAAGUUCAACUUUAGGGACACUACCAUUGUCCUCUAGCUACUGUGGAACCAUUAAGAGAUAAAGUCAAUAAAGUCAUUCUAAUUUUUGAUCUUCUGUAGUUGACCAGUGGAUUUUUUUUCUUUAGAAGCUUGUAUCAUCUUCCUGUCCCAACUGCUCUGAAAUUUCACAGUGAUGUGCCGACAGUGGAUUUGUUUAAGCCAUUGAAGCUUUUGAGUGUGACAACUUAUGACCUGUCUUAGGAGAGUUUCUUGAAUUAUUUUCUGCUUGCCUUUUUCUAGAACUCCUAUUAUUUAGUCGUUGGAUUUUCUUAACUAUUCUUUUAACUUUUUUAUCUUUUCCUUUCUAUUUGCCUUUUCUUUCCCUUCCAGUCUUUAUGAGAAAAACAUUUUAUUGACUCAUUUAUUGAAUUCUUUAUUUCUGCUAUAAUAUUUUUAAUUUUUAUGAACUCAAUUGUAGUUUUUUUUGCAUUAUUUUAAGCAUUUCAUUCUUUUGCUGAUGUUACAAAAUAUUCUCUUAUUUCUCUUAGGAUGUUAGUGAUAGGAGUCCCCUAGACUUUUCUUGUUUCCCUACCAUCUCUGUUGCCUCUAAGUUUGUUUUAUUUAUGCUGUG